This 118-nucleotide small nuclear RNA is filed under the name Neogale vison (American mink). Its description in RNAcentral is "Neovison vison (American mink) U4 spliceosomal RNA (ENSNVIG00000012664.1)". The stretch from base 1 to 82 matches the Rfam family "U4 spliceosomal RNA". From Rfam's summary of the family: U4 small nuclear RNA (U4 snRNA) is a component of the major U2-dependent spliceosome. The structure of U4 snRNA from yeast and human has been reported. Lineage: Eukaryota; Metazoa; Chordata; Mammalia; Carnivora; Mustelidae. The record is from RNAcentral.
AGCUUUGCGCAGUGGCAGUAUCGUAGCCAAUGAGGUUUAUCCGAGGCGCGAUUAUUGCUAAUUCAAAGAUAAGCUACAUUCAAAAGGACAAAUGUAUUAUCGCACUCAUGAUAAGAUA